This 1556-nucleotide ribosomal RNA is filed under the name Salmonella enterica subsp. enterica serovar Senftenberg. RNAcentral describes it as "bacterial SSU rRNA". It matches the Rfam family "Bacterial small subunit ribosomal RNA". Lineage: Bacteria; Pseudomonadati; Pseudomonadota; Gammaproteobacteria; Enterobacterales; Enterobacteriaceae. The record is from RNAcentral.
UUAAAUUGAAGAGUUUGAUCAUGGCUCAGAUUGAACGCUGGCGGCAGGCCUAACACAUGCAAGUCGAACGGUAACAGGAAGCAGCUUGCUGCUUUGCUGACGAGUGGCGGACGGGUGAGUAAUGUCUGGGAAACUGCCUGAUGGAGGGGGAUAACUACUGGAAACGGUGGCUAAUACCGCAUAACGUCGCAAGACCAAAGAGGGGGACCUUCGGGCCUCUUGCCAUCAGAUGUGCCCAGAUGGGAUUAGCUGGUUGGUGAGGUAACGGCUCACCAAGGCGACGAUCCCUAGCUGGUCUGAGAGGAUGACCAGCCACACUGGAACUGAGACACGGUCCAGACUCCUACGGGAGGCAGCAGUGGGGAAUAUUGCACAAUGGGCGCAAGCCUGAUGCAGCCAUGCCGCGUGUAUGAAGAAGGCCUUCGGGUUGUAAAGUACUUUCAGCGGGGAGGAAGGUGUUGUGGUUAAUAACCACAGCAAUUGACGUUACCCGCAGAAGAAGCACCGGCUAACUCCGUGCCAGCAGCCGCGGUAAUACGGAGGGUGCAAGCGUUAAUCGGAAUUACUGGGCGUAAAGCGCACGCAGGCGGUCUGUCAAGUCGGAUGUGAAAUCCCCGGGCUCAACCUGGGAACUGCAUUCGAAACUGGCAGGCUUGAGUCUUGUAGAGGGGGGUAGAAUUCCAGGUGUAGCGGUGAAAUGCGUAGAGAUCUGGAGGAAUACCGGUGGCGAAGGCGGCCCCCUGGACAAAGACUGACGCUCAGGUGCGAAAGCGUGGGGAGCAAACAGGAUUAGAUACCCUGGUAGUCCACGCCGUAAACGAUGUCUACUUGGAGGUUGUGCCCUUGAGGCGUGGCUUCCGGAGCUAACGCGUUAAGUAGACCGCCUGGGGAGUACGGCCGCAAGGUUAAAACUCAAAUGAAUUGACGGGGGCCCGCACAAGCGGUGGAGCAUGUGGUUUAAUUCGAUGCAACGCGAAGAACCUUACCUGGUCUUGACAUCCACGGAAGAAUCCAGAGAUGGAUUUGUGCCUUCGGGAACCGUGAGACAGGUGCUGCAUGGCUGUCGUCAGCUCGUGUUGUGAAAUGUUGGGUUAAGUCCCGCAACGAGCGCAACCCUUAUCCUUUGUUGCCAGCGAUUAGGUCGGGAACUCAAAGGAGACUGCCAGUGAUAAACUGGAGGAAGGUGGGGAUGACGUCAAGUCAUCAUGGCCCUUACGACCAGGGCUACACACGUGCUACAAUGGCGCAUACAAAGAGAAGCGACCUCGCGAGAGCAAGCGGACCUCAUAAAGUGCGUCGUAGUCCGGAUUGGAGUCUGCAACUCGACUCCAUGAAGUCGGAAUCGCUAGUAAUCGUGGAUCAGAAUGCCACGGUGAAUACGUUCCCGGGCCUUGUACACACCGCCCGUCACACCAUGGGAGUGGGUUGCAAAAGAAGUAGGUAGCUUAACCUUCGGGAGGGCGCUUACCACUUUGUGAUUCAUGACUGGGGUGAAGUCGUAACAAGGUAACCGUAGGGGAACCUGCGGUUGGAUCACCUCCUUACCUGAAAGAAGC